AAAAUGAUACUUUAAGGGAUUAUUUAUAUAGUUUGCUACCAGAGAAGUCUCUCCGAUCAUGCAUAGCACCCGAAAACAUGAGGAGGAGACACAGAAUCCUCAGAAUCCUCUCCUAACAGUGAAGCCUGUUCUAGGUCUUGCUUUUGCAACUGCCUUUUCCCAUUGAUGAUUGUUCUUCUUCUUUGAAAGAGUGAGAGGCAGAGGAUGCAGGUGGA
Small nucleolar RNA from Sorex araneus (European shrew), 215 nucleotides. RefSeq annotates it as small nucleolar RNA U3. Lineage: Eukaryota; Metazoa; Chordata; Mammalia; Eulipotyphla; Soricidae. The record is from RefSeq and is a predicted model, not a curated record. The transcript has a single exon.